RNAcentral lists this non-coding RNA (32 nucleotides) under Rattus norvegicus (Norway rat). Lineage: Eukaryota; Metazoa; Chordata; Mammalia; Rodentia; Muridae. The record is from RNAcentral.
AAGGUGAUUGACUGAAUAGUCUCCUCUCCUUU